Molecule: unclassified non-coding RNA, 2298 nt
Filed under: Bombus terrestris (buff-tailed bumblebee)
Lineage: Eukaryota; Metazoa; Arthropoda; Insecta; Hymenoptera; Apidae
Description: misc RNA ENSBTSG00005029201.1
Source: RNAcentral
CUGUCUUCCAUCAUCUCUUCCCUCCAUUCCUCCAUCUAUCUUCUUCUCUCCUCCCUUGUCUCCUCUUCUAGCCCUUUGAUCUGUCCCGCCAAGUCUUCUAUCUCUCACCGAUUCAUCUCUCCUUUCACUUCCCCUUUUGUUGAUCUCUCCUUUUUUCUCUCCUCUUUACUGUCUAAGAAUCUCAACGGUUUACCUACCUUCUGCCACCUACCUACCUACCUUCGCGCCACUUCAGUGCUCUGUGUUCUUUCUAACCUUACUAUUUUAUUCACCUCAUACUACUCUCCUUUCUUAUUCUGAUCUCACUCUCGCUUUUCUGCUAUCUCUAUUGUUCUCUUCUUUCCUUCGCCUCCUUCCUUCCUCACUACAACCGUUUGCUCAUCUUUACUUCCUUGCUUUUGUAUUUCUUUGCUCUCCAAUUCUGCACGUGUUUACCUUACCAGUUCUUCUAUAACUGAAAUUCAACUCACAAAUUCCGCAGGAUUGAUGAUUGAGUCGAACUUUAGCUCGCUUCUUACUACAUCUUACUAUAUUGCUUCUUAAUUAAAGAACGUGGCACGGAGUCACACAAUGACUCUUCGUGAUGUUCUCAUGAUUCCUCGGUUGCUUAUACUUGUACCGUGAAAAUCCGAAAAUUUUUACAUGGGAAAGAAUUAAUUUCCUCAAAAUGUUUGGCAAACAUUGUUCAUCGAAUGUUCUUACGGCUCAAUGCUAGCCGUGUCUUCCAUAUCGCUUUAGAUAAGGGAUAUUCUUGACUAAAAGGCGCUUCUGUUCUCUGUGUGUAUUUGAAGAAGUUCAAGGCGGCAAGAGCAGAAAGAUAUACUUCACCCAAACACACACACUCGUAAAAAUGAAAAAGUCGGCUCGAUAUAUGUGUCACCUUGUAAAAGAACAACAGUUGCUAUCUCCACGUUUAAUGAACAGGGAAAUUGGCAUACCUAUAUGAGAAGAUUAAUAACAUUGACAUGGCUAAUCUUGUAAUAAAAAUACAAAUAAUGAUUAAUGAUAAAACCUUACAUAAAUAACUACCAACUGUCAAAUAGUUUAUCAAAUCUUGUUAUUUAUGCGCGUGUGUUAUCUCCAAGGGAAAGAAACAUACGACCAAGUACGUGUUCUAUGAGAGAAACUGCAGUAUAAAAAUCGAUGAUAACGGUGUCAACUUUUCAAAGUCGAGGAAGAGCUCAAUAGGUGUACAGCAAAUACUUCUUGUCAGUCACUUGUUAGUCACUUCUUGUCAGAAGUUACUAUGUCUCGAUAUCUAGUAGUUUCUCUGUUUGUUAUCAUGAUUCUUGGUAUUUAUUCAAUCCAAGACUCAACUGCCGGAUCAGAAUGUCCAGAAAACCAACAAGAACACAUAUGCGGAACACUAUGCGAGCCAACCUGUAGUAAUCCACAACCGAAUCGCAAGCUUUGCCCUCGAAUCGUGAGUGUUUACAAUUAUUAAUUAUUAUUAAUACGAUAUCAAUACACUGCACCAUGAUAUUUGUUUUCUGAUAAUAAAUUCUUUUCAGGUAUGCACUAGAGCCACUAGCGGCUGUAGGUGUGUAAAGGACACUGUUAGAGACACAAACAGUACACAAUGUGUGCCACUGGAUCAGUGUUCGCAAUAAACACACGCAUUAUUUGUAAUUGAUCCCAAAUGAUCAACUCCAUUUUUAUAUAAAGUCAUUAGCUUCACAUUAUCAAGGUAUAGAAUUAGUAUACGAUUUUUCAGAGAAGAAAUGCUGUUUUCAUAAAUGUAUAAUCUUAUAAUUUAUGAGUAGGUAGUAUAAAUAAUUCAAUUCCAAGGAGAAUAAAAUAAAAAUUUUAUGUAUUUUAAAUUAUUGAGUUGAUCAGCAUAGUUUCUGAGAGUCCAUAGAGUAGUGAGUAGAGUAACAAUUUAUAUGUGUAUACAUCAAUAAAGCAGUUCUUAAGGAAUAUUAAAUAUUUAUUAAAUAAUUAUGAGCGAUUUGAUAAGAAAUAUUCUCUCAACCCGCGUAUGGACAAAUCUAUUUUUACACCGACCCUAGAAAAACUUAGUCGUUUAUGUCCACGCCUAAUUUUUUUACUGUCCCAAACUUUCAAAAAACAUAAAAAAAUUCUGGGAUGCUGAUUGUAAUCUUUACUAUAUUGUACAAUCAGUUUUUAGUCAAACAUUUAAAAGUUUUCACAGGAAGAAUAAAAACUUGUUUUGAAGGAAUUCACAAGUGAAAUUUCGUUUAGGGUAUAUCAUAAACAAUUUAUGAAAGAGAAAUUCACAAUGGUCUUCUCUUAAUAAUUAUUAGUUCAGUUAUUUAUUAUUAUUAUUAUAGUUAGUAA